This 1052-nucleotide long non-coding RNA is filed under the name Olea europaea (common olive). RNAcentral's name for it is "long non-coding RNA (OEUR_LNC007335)". The record is from RNAcentral. Lineage: Eukaryota; Viridiplantae; Streptophyta; Magnoliopsida; Lamiales; Oleaceae.
UUUUUUGGUCGAGAUUAAUACUUAACAUUUUCUUCAUUUUUUCCAGAUGUUGAGGGUAGCUCGAGGACUUUCUCUGCAAGGGCUCGAGGAGGCCAAGAGGGCAGCUGGUGUCGAGACGUCCAUGGCCUCCAAGGACAGUAGGAUUCAAGACCUCGAGGCUCAGAUCGAGGUUUUAUUGAAGGAGCGUGAUGACGUGAGGAUGGAGGCUGCAAAGGCCAGGGAUGACCUUGUUGUAGCAAAGGAUGAGGUCGAGGGUGCGAGGCUCGAGCUUAUCCAGAAGACAGAGAAUUUUGAGCGCGAGCUCGCGGCUGUCAGGGAGAGGGCCUGGGACGAGUUUAAAACCUCCGAGGAUUGUGACAAGAUAAAAGGGGAGUACGCAUCGGGGGCGUACUUCCAUGCUCUGAAAGAAGCCCAGGCCUUCCUCCGUCAGAAGUUGCCCGACGUUACUCCGGACGACUUGAAGACAGUGCCUUCCAUUGCUGAUACAUUGGAGCUCUCGGGUUCGGAAGAUGGAGGAGGAUCGGGCGGAGAUGAUGAGGACGGUCUUGAGGACGACGUUGAGAUCAACAUCAGCAACCUCGACCCUCCUCUUGGCCACAUUGGAUGACUUCCCCACCCCGAUCUCUUGUAAUUUUUGUUUAAACUUUGAACAUGUAUUUUGAUCGAGGACUAUGUAUGUUCUAAAGUUAAUUUAUUUGAGCUAUUUAUCUCGACCCCUUAGACUUCAUAUAUUCGAGCAAACAAAUUGGAAAUUAACUGCUCAUGCGACAUUGAAGAGUUUACUCGAGGAUUCCACAACUCGAGCAUAUUUAAGGGAUUAAAAAGUGAUAAUGUGACAUUCUCGAGGACUGUAAACCUCGAGCACAACUAAUCUUAAAAAAUAAUAUGAUAAUGUGACAUUCUCGAGGACUUCUAAACCUCGAGCACAACUAACUUAAAAGUUGGGUUGUGAUAUUCUCGAGGACUUCUAAACCUCGAGCACAACUAACUUAAAAAGCUGGGUUGUGAUAUUCUCGAGGACUGUAAACCUCGAGCACAACUAACUUAAAAAG